Molecule: ribosomal RNA, 1127 nt
Filed under: Candidatus Annandia adelgestsuga
Lineage: Bacteria; Pseudomonadati; Pseudomonadota; Gammaproteobacteria; Enterobacterales; Enterobacteriaceae
Description: bacterial SSU rRNA
Rfam family: Bacterial small subunit ribosomal RNA
Source: RNAcentral
UUGCACAAUGGGCGCAAGCCUGAUGCAGCUAUGUCGCGUGUAUGAAGAAGACCUUAGGGUUGUAAAGUACUUUCAAUAGCAUAAGAAGGUAAUGAAACUAAUAAUUUUGUUAUCAGACGUUAGCUAUAAAAGAAGCACCGGCUAACUCCGUGCCAGCAGCCGCGGUAAUACGGAGGGUGCUAGCGUUAAUCGGAAUUACUGGGCGUAAAGAGCACUUAGGUGGUUUAUUAAGUCAAGUGUGAAAUCCCUAGACUUAAUCUAGGAACUGCAUUUGAAACUAAUAGACUAGAGUUUCGUAGAGGGAGGUAGAAUUCUAGGUGUAGCGGUGAAAUGCAUAGAUAUCUAGAGGAAUAUCAGUGGCGAAGGCGACCUCCUGGACGAUAACUGACGCUAAAAUGCGAAAGCAUGGGUAGCAAACAGGAUUAGAUACCCUGGUAGUCCAUGCUGUAAACGAUGUCGACUAAGAAGUUGAAAGCUUUGACUUAUAAUUUCUGUAGCUAACGCGUUAAGUCGACCGCCUGGGGAGUACGGCCGCAAGGCUAAAACUCAAAUGAAUUGACGGGGGCCUGCACAAGCGGUGGAGCAUGUGGUUUAAUUCGAUGCAACGCGUAAAACCUUACCUGGUCUUGACAUCCACAGAAUUUUAUAGAAAUAUAAAAGUGCAAUUUGAACUGUGAGACAGGUGCUGCAUGGCUGUCGUCAGCUCGUGUUGUGAAAUGUUGGGUUAAGUCCCGCAACGAGCGCAACCCUUGUUUUUUGUUACCAUCAGAUAAAGCUGGGGACUCAAAAGAAACUGCCAGUUAUAAACUGGAGGAAGGUGGGGACGACGUCAAGUCAUCAUGGCCCUUACGACCAGGGCUACACACGUGCUACAAUGGCGUAUACAAAGAGAUGCAAUAUUGUAAAAUAAAGCUAAUCUAUAAAAUACGUCUUAGUUCGGACUGGAGUCUGCAACUCGACUCCACGAAGUCGGAAUCGCUAGUAAUCGUGGAUCAGCAUGCCACGGUGAAUAUGUUUCCAGGCCUUGUACACACCGCCCGUCACACCAUGGAAGUGGGUUGCAAAAGAAGUAGAUUAAUUUAACCUUCUUAACAAGAAAAUAGUUUACCACUUUGUGAUUCAUGACU